GACGAACGCUGGCGGCAGGCUUAACACAUGCAAGUCGAACGGAAAGGCGCUGCUUUUUUGUGGUGCUCGAGUGGCGAACGGGUGAGUAACACGUGAGUAACCUGCCCUUGACUGUGGGAUAACUUCAGGAAACUGGGACUAACACCGGAUAACAGCUGCUGCUGCAUGGUGGGGGUUGGAAAGCUUCGGCCGUUGGGGAUGGACUCGGGGCUUAUGAGCUUGUUGGUCGGGGAGUGGCCUACCGAGGGUUUGACGGGUCGCCGGCCUGAGAGGGUGACCGGCGACAAUGGGACUGCGAUACGGCGCAGACUCCUACGGGAGGCAGCGGUGGGGAAUAUUGCACAGUGGGCGGAAGCCUGAGGAAGCAACGCUGGGUGCGGGAUGACGGCCUUGGGGUUGUAAACCGCUUUAGCCUGUGACGAAGCGUGAGUGACGGUAAUGGGUGAAGAAGCACCGGCUAACUACGUG
Molecule: ribosomal RNA, 468 nt
Filed under: uncultured bacterium
Lineage: Bacteria
Description: partial 16S ribosomal RNA
Rfam family: Bacterial small subunit ribosomal RNA
Source: RNAcentral